This 992-nucleotide ribosomal RNA is filed under the name Byssoascus sp. RNAcentral's name for it is "SSU rRNA". It matches the Rfam family "Eukaryotic small subunit ribosomal RNA", at positions 56 to 1057 of the family's 1831-position model. Lineage: Eukaryota; Fungi; Ascomycota; Leotiomycetes; Myxotrichaceae. The record is from RNAcentral.
UGUCUAGUAUAAGCAAUCUAUACGGUGAAACUGCGAAUGGCUCAUUAAAUCAGUUAUCGUUUAUUUGAUAGUACCUUACUACUUGGAUAACCGUGGUAAUUCUAGAGCUAAUACAUGCUAAAAACCUCGACUUCGGAAGGGGUGUAUUUAUUAGAUAAAAAACCAAUGCCCUUCGGGGCUCUCUGGUGAUUCAUAAUAACUUAACGAAUCGCAUGGCCUUGUGCCGGCGAUGGUUCAUUCAAAUUUCUGCCCUAUCAACUUUCGAUUGUAUGGUCUUGGCUUACAAUGGUUUCAACGGGUAACGGGGAAUUAGGGUUCUAUUCCGGAGAGGGAGCCUGAGAAACGGCUACCACAUCCAAGGAAGGCAGCAGGCGCGCAAAUUACCCAAUCCCGACACGGGGAGGUAGUGACAAUAAAUACUGAUACAGGGCUCUUUUGGGUCUUGUAAUUGGAAUGAGUACAAUUUAAAUCCCUUAACGAGGAACAAUUGGAGGGCAAGUCUGGUGCCAGCAGCCGCGGUAAUUCCAGCUCCAAUAGCGUAUAUUAAAGUUGUUGCAGUUAAAAAGCUCGUAGUUGAACCUUGGGCCUGGCUGGCCGGUCCGCCUCACCGCGUGCACUGGUCCGGCCGGGCCUUUCCUUCUGGGGAGCCGCAUGCCCUUCACUGGGUGUGUCGGGGAACCAGGACUUUUACUUUGAAAAAAUUAGAGUGUUCAAAGCAGGCCUAUGCUCGAAUACAUUAGCAUGGAAUAAUAGAAUAGGACGUGUGGUUCUAUUUUGUUGGUUUCUAGGACCGCCGUAAUGAUUAAUAGGGAUAGUCGGGGGCAUCAGUAUUCAAUUGUCAGAGGUGAAAUUCUUGGAUUUAUUGAAGACUAACUACUGCGAAAGCAUUUGCCAAGGAUGUUUUCAUUAAUCAGUGAACGAAAGUUAGGGGAUCGAAGACGAUCAGAUACCGUCGUAGUCUUAACCAUAAACUAUGCCGACUAGGGAUCGGG